UUGGAGGGCAAGUCUGGUGCCAGCAGCCGCGGUAAUUCCAGCUCCAAUAGCGUAUAUUAAAGUUGUUGCAGUUAAAAAGCUCGUAGUUGAAUUUCGAGAUCAAUUUGUCGGUCGUGCCUCGGUAUGUACUGGCAUUAUUGAUUUCUCCCUUCUGAAGAACCGCGAUGUCAUUAAUUUGGUGUCGUGGGGAAUCAGGACUGUUACUUUGAAAAAAUUAGAGUGUUUAAAGCAGGCGCACGCUUGAAUACAUUAGCAUGGAAUAAUGAAAUAGGACGUUUGAUUCUAUUUUGUUGGUUUCUAGGAUCGACGUAAUGAUUAAUAGGGAUAGUUGGGGGCAUUAGUAUUCAAUUGUCAGAGGUGAAAUUCUUGGAUUUAUUGAAGACUAACUACUGCGAAAGCAUUGCCAAGGAUGUUUUCAUUAAUCAAGAACGAAAGUUAGGGGAUCGAAGACGAUCAGAUACCGUCGUAGUCUUAACCAUAAACUAUGCCGACUAGGGAUCGGGUGAUGUUAAUUUUUUAAUGACUCAUUCGGCGCCUUACGGGAAAC
RNAcentral lists this ribosomal RNA (547 nucleotides) under uncultured Glomeromycotina. RNAcentral's name for it is "SSU rRNA". It matches the Rfam family "Eukaryotic small subunit ribosomal RNA", at positions 548 to 1098 of the family's 1831-position model. Lineage: Eukaryota; Fungi; Glomeromycota. The record is from RNAcentral.